CCUACGGGUGGCAGCAGUGAGGAAUAUUGGUCAAUGGUCGAGAGCCUGAACCAGCCAAGUAGCGUGAAGGAUGACUGCCCUAUGGGUUGUAAACUUCUUUUAUAAGGGGAUAAAACGAGGCACGUGUGCCGUAUUGCAUGUACCUUAUGAAUAAGGAUCGGCGAACUCCGUGCCAGCAGCCGCGGUAAUACGGAGGUUCCGAGCGUUAUCCGGAUUUAUUGGGUUGAAAGGGAGCGUAGCUGGCAUGUUAAGUGGGUGGUGAAAGUUCGGGGCUCAACCAUGGAAGUGCAAUGGAUACUGGCAGUCUUGAGUACGCGUGAGGUAGGCGGAAUUCGUGGUGUAGCGGUGAAAUGCUUAGAUAUCACGAAGAACUCCGAUGGCGAAGGCAGCUUACUGAACGGUGACUGACGGUGAUGCUCGAAAGCGUGGGUAUCAAACAGGAUUAGAUACCCUAGUAGUC
Molecule: ribosomal RNA, 460 nt
Filed under: uncultured bacterium
Lineage: Bacteria
Description: partial 16S ribosomal RNA
Rfam family: Bacterial small subunit ribosomal RNA
Source: RNAcentral